Physcomitrium patens is the source of this 1185-nucleotide long non-coding RNA. RefSeq lists it as uncharacterized. Lineage: Eukaryota; Viridiplantae; Streptophyta; Bryopsida; Funariales; Funariaceae. The record is from RefSeq and is a predicted model, not a curated record.
AUUGAUUGAUAAAUUGUGGUGUGAUUAGCCUACACUGGGAUGCUUCUUCAUCCUUCUGAUCAGAUCUGAGAGAGAGUGAAACCGCCAACUCUGGCGGCAUUUGGCCCUCCCCGCAGCUCCACUCCAAAUUUAGGUAUUUGACGGCAGUACUGGAGGACCCAAUUUAGAGUAAGAGUAGGGAGGACGUGUUCCUCUUGUCCCAUUGACACCACAAUUUUGGGAGACUGGGUGGGAAUGAUUUAGAGCUGUGAGGCGGUGUCCCCAGUUAGCCCAUUAUCAUUCCAGCUGCUGUUGCUGCUGCUACAAGAUUGUUGUGUCCAGUAAGUAAUUGCACACUGCUGCCGCUGCUGCGAGUGUGUGUGUGUGUAUGUGAGAGGGAGAGUUUGCUAUACUGGAGGCCAGUUGGGUGACCCGAAGACGGAGUGGCCAGUUGUGUGCUGUUGCGAAGCUGAGCGCAGGAGACAAAACUCCUCCAGAGGGACUCGUGGGGUCUGAUUCCAUGGAGGGACAGCUAAUCCAUGAGGCUGGCCAUGUUGAUUAUGCCCUUGCUACGGUUCCAGUUGGAACGCAGGGUGCUGCAGCGAUGGACCCCCGUCGUCGCAACAACAACAACAACAACAGGGCUUCCAGUGGCCAUGGAAUCGUCGAGGAUCUCCUCGCAGACCUUCCGCCGCCGUGGCGGCUACAAAUGUUUCCUCGGAUCAGUUGUCCUACUCUUCCUCGCGAGGAGGAGGAGGACAACUGAUCGAUCAUCACCGAUUCCGCCUUCUCGCAUACACCGCUUCGAAGAAGGACGGAUGUUCUCUCGCGUGGGAGAGCAUGUUGGCUAAGAGAGACUGCAUAUGAUGUGUGAGCAAGUCGUAAAAAUGAUCAAUGGGAGGUAAACGACUUCGCCGCAUCGACAACACUUAGAAAGCAAUGUCUAAUUACUUUCUAAGUUUUAGUUUCGUUUGUUUUUUUCAGUUUUUAUUGUGUGUUUUAUUGUGUGUCCGGAAAAGAAAAAAAGCGAAAAAAAAAAAAAAAAAAAAAAAGUUGCUCGCUCUCGCGCUGCAAAAGCACAGGGAGGGGGUCAUAUCUUUGUUGUAGCUCAAUCGGGACUUGUAGUAGUGCCUUUACCUGCUCGAAUUUAAUUUGCACAUGCAAUACAUACGUUUCCGUCGUAAUGGCGACGGGUUUACUCACGCA